Molecule: small RNA, 28 nt
Filed under: Bombyx mori (domestic silkworm)
Lineage: Eukaryota; Metazoa; Arthropoda; Insecta; Lepidoptera; Bombycidae
Description: ovarian small RNA-22086
Source: RNAcentral
UAGAUAUACUUCUUUUGCUGCCUUCAUC